Bradysia coprophila is the source of this 400-nucleotide long non-coding RNA. NCBI's taxonomy places the organism in Eukaryota, Metazoa, Arthropoda, Insecta, Diptera, Sciaridae. The record is from RefSeq and is a predicted model, not a curated record.
UUUAAUCUGCUGUGGCAAAUCUGAAUUCUUUUCUGACAUUAGUGCUCCAAAGCUAAUUACCAAUUUUGUACGUAACGACCUCCUGACCAGACAAAAAUGGAUUUAUCCGAUAUCGAUUCAGAUAUAUCACUGAGCAGUAUUUUGGCAAGUACUGACGACGAAAGUGACAUGAGGAACACUGAUAAUUUGACAAAAACGUGUGACGAAUGUGGAAAAAAAUCAAUUGAUGCACAAAAGUUGGAAAAGAAGUUCAAGAAGCUGAAGAAGCGAUAUAUUAAAUUAUGCGUACGUUUUGCCGAAUCCGAAAUGAAAUGUAAAGAUUUAGAAAAAACCAAUGGCGCACAGCCCUCGAAAAUCUUUGAAUAAAUCAAUUGUCUCUUCGACAAUGUUGUUCCGAUGG